Molecule: long non-coding RNA, 110 nt
Organism: Tyto alba (common barn owl)
Lineage: Eukaryota; Metazoa; Chordata; Aves; Strigiformes; Tytonidae
Exons: 3
Source: RefSeq, a predicted model, not a curated record
GAUCCGUAAGCCUGGAGGGGCAUGAGAUGAAGCCUGGCCUUGAAGAUGCUCCUGGACAACCUUGAUUUCUCUGGAACUGGAUACCUCACUCUGUCUGGCAAUGAUAGAGA